Molecule: long non-coding RNA, 752 nt
Organism: Nicotiana attenuata
Lineage: Eukaryota; Viridiplantae; Streptophyta; Magnoliopsida; Solanales; Solanaceae
Exons: 5
Source: RefSeq, a predicted model, not a curated record
UCUUUUUUAUUUGCUUUGCUUCCUGUUUUAUUGAGAAUUCGUGAAUAAAAAAUAUAGUUCUGUUGGUUUUCAAAUAAAGUACUGAUUAAAAAUAUGCGAAUAAAAAAUUAUUGUUCUGUUGGUUCUGGAAUAAAGCACUGAAAGCUCUUUCUUUGGGUUCGUUGAUGUAUUAUGGUUAAAAUUUUAAUUACAUCUUCUACAGAUUGAGCUGCCACACUUCUAACAAAAUUCGUAUGAUCGCUAAAAUUGCAAAAGUGCAUGGGAUAGAUUUCCAAUGAAAAUCUUUAUUUUGUUUUCCUAACUUUGGGUAUCGAGGCAUUGAAAGGUAAAACUUUGGGUAUCGAGGCAACGGAAGGCAAGCACCGCAAUAGGAUACGAUUCUUCUCAAACGGCUAUGGGUGUCUUUGUUUGUGCCUGAGAUAGCGAAAUGUAUCGUGGAAAGCAAUUGUAUCAAAAUGAGGAACGCUAUGCUGCCUUAACUCAUAUGGUGGCUUCUCAUGGACUGGAUCGUAGUUCAAAGGUGCUUCGUCAGCCGAAUAUUGGCACUUUUUUCAUGCUUUAGUUUGACUGUUUCGUAAGGUCUGGUUAACUAGGUCCCAGGAAUUAGUCAAAGAUGGUAAAAAGUUAUCAGCUGUCUGGUUCUGAGUUUUGACUCAGACACAACAUGUCCAAUGUUCUGCGGUCUGCUACUGUCUAAUAUACAGAUUAUCGAGACUAAGGAGUCGUGAAAAUUGCAUAGCUUGAGAUUGGGG